Molecule: small RNA, 300 nt
Filed under: Histoplasma capsulatum var. duboisii H88
Lineage: Eukaryota; Fungi; Ascomycota; Eurotiomycetes; Onygenales; Ajellomycetaceae
Description: Histoplasma capsulatum H88 hypothetical RNA
Source: RNAcentral
CAUUUUCUCAAAGAAGUCAGUAAAGGCAAUAGAAUAGCAAUGCAGCUACAAACUAUAAUAGCCUUGAAUAUAGGAUUCGCAAUGUCUACAGAAGGGGGGAGGAAACAGAAUACUCUGACAUACUUCCGGAAUUGCCUGCCCAAUAUUAAAGUCACACUCCAAGCUUUGUCGAACUAAUUAUAUAGAUCCUAUCCGAGACUUCUUAAUCUUCGAAAGCUCACCAUGGGCCCGCCAGACCCAAAGAAGCAAAAACAACGCGCAAGUGCGGCUGCUCCGUGAGGGAGUUCCUCAAAAAGGUAA